CAACCCUCAGGCCCUGCCUGGCGUUGGAGGACUGCACCCGCAGCCUCCCAAAGCAAGCGGCGGCGGCGCCCCAAAACCGAACGCAGUAGUUUUCUCUCGUUCUGGGACUGGGACGUUGUCUUGCCGGAAAACCCCCAACUUUUACGU
Molecule: unclassified non-coding RNA, 147 nt
Filed under: uncultured Chaetosphaeria
Lineage: Eukaryota; Fungi; Ascomycota; Sordariomycetes; Chaetosphaeriales; Chaetosphaeriaceae
Description: partial internal transcribed spacer 2
Source: RNAcentral